RNAcentral lists this ribosomal RNA (253 nucleotides) under uncultured bacterium. RNAcentral's name for it is "partial 16S ribosomal RNA". It matches the Rfam family "Bacterial small subunit ribosomal RNA", at positions 524 to 776 of the family's 1533-position model. The record is from RNAcentral.
UACGGGGGGGGUAAGCGUUGUUCGGAAUUACUGGGCGUAAAGGGCUCGUAGGCGGCCAACUAAGUCAUACGUGAAAUCCCUCAGCUUAACUGGGGAACUGCGUCCGAUACUGGAAGGCUUGAAUCCGGGAGAGGGAUGUGGAAUUCCAGGUGUAGCGGUGAAAUGCGUAGAUAUCUGGAGGAACACCGGUGGCGAAGGCGACAUCCUGGACCGGUAUUGACGCUGAGGCGCGAAAGCCAGGGGAGCAAACGGG